Molecule: ribosomal RNA, 468 nt
Filed under: uncultured bacterium
Lineage: Bacteria
Description: partial 16S ribosomal RNA
Rfam family: Bacterial small subunit ribosomal RNA
Source: RNAcentral
GACGAACGCUGGCGGCGUGCUUAACACAUGCAAGUCGAACGGAAAGGCCCUGCUUUUGUGGGGUGCUCGAGUGGCGAACGGGUGAGUAACACGUGAGUAACCUGCCCUUGACUUUGGGAUAACUUCAGGAAACUGGGGCUAAUACCGGAUAGGAGCUCCUGCUGCAUGGUGGGGGUUGGAAAGUUUCGGCGGUUGGGGCUGGACUCGCGGCUUAUCAGCUUGUUGGUGGGGUAGUGGCUUACCAAGGCUUUGACGGGUAGCCGGCCUGAGAGGGUGACCGGCCACAUUGGGACUGAGAGACGGCCCAGACUCCUACGGGAGGCAGCAGUGGGGAAUAUUGCACAAUGGGCGGAAGCCUGAUGCAGCAACGCCGCGUUCGGGAUGACGUCCUUCGGGUUGUAAACCGCUUUCUCCUGUGACGAAGCGUGAGUGACGGUAAUGGGUAAAGAAGCACCGGCUAACUACGUG